Molecule: unclassified non-coding RNA, 1247 nt
Filed under: Hevea brasiliensis (rubber tree)
Lineage: Eukaryota; Viridiplantae; Streptophyta; Magnoliopsida; Malpighiales; Euphorbiaceae
Source: RNAcentral
GUAGGCAAAGCAAUGACCAAUCUUUCACAAAACAAUGUUAGGUAGAAAUACUAUCCACUAUAACUUUGAACUUAAUCAAUUUGAUCAAAGGAUACAGGACUGCAAAGACAUUUUCAUAAAACUGUAUUGCCCAACAACAACCAAAAAAAUAACUUCCAGAAACGCAUGAAACGCGUCUUUUAACGCCAAUAAUCAAGGGAGAAUUUUUUUCCUUCGACGUGGGGUUUCUCUCUUGACAAACAUCUUCUCAAACUCGUCAAGGGGUCGACUGGAACCAUCAGGUUGACUAACAAACUUCCAGCCACCACCAUUCCCACGCUUGCCACGAGAUCCUAGCAUCUCAACAGUGAAAUUCCAGCCAUUUGAAGGGCGCCUGCGGCUAUACUUGUGGCAUUUCACUUUCUUCGCCAUCUUCAUCUUGUUAAAGUUCAUCCUUUGGACAAACUCUUGAUACAGCAUCUCAUCUUCCUUCAUUGAUAUUUCAUAGUGCACCUCAUCAGGAUCCCUGGUAGUCCCAUCCCAACCCUCGGGCAUGACCUUGAAGUCGGGUUUAUAAGGAAGAGUUGCAACAUGGAAUUCUCUGUCAUGAGAAUUGAAAAAUUCUGGGCAUGUAUCAAGCAAGAGCUCAACCGAGUCAUCCAAUGGAUGCCCAAGCUUCUUCUCUUCCUCCUCCUCAAGUUCCUUCAGCCAUAGAAUUGCAUGAACCCUCUGCCUCAUGAUUCUGUAAUCUUUUGCUAGGCGCUCAACUGUAUACAACUCUGGAUUCUCCUUAUGCUUCUUGUACAUUUCUGUCUUCUCUGAAUCCUUCAAAUAAGACCCCCUUGCACCUGGCUCCAUUACCUGCUUCAUCAAAACGCUCAUAUCCUUCAUCCUCUCAUUCCAUCCAUCAACAAAAGCUUUCCCUUUUCGAUUCUCAGCAUGAAGCUCCUUAACUAAAUCCAUUUCUUCAUCAGUCCAUCUAGCUGAACCAAACGAGGGUGCAGAUCGUGCAUUGGGUUCCGAACCCAUUUGUCGACCCACAACUUCUCCAUCAAAAUGCUCCUUGGUUAACCCAGUAGACCAUGAAUUUGAACCCUCAUCCCAACCCAAAUCUUCCGUAGAACCAUUACCACCGAAAUUUGCACUCCAAUCAUUUCCAGUAGAAAAUGGCUUCACAAAAUUGAAGUAUUUACCAACUGGUUUUUGCGAGAAUUUUGUUAAGAUUUGUUGAAACGCUCGCAUUUCUGAAAGUUUCAGCAACAGCGAAG